Molecule: ribosomal RNA, 467 nt
Filed under: uncultured bacterium
Lineage: Bacteria
Description: partial 16S ribosomal RNA
Rfam family: Bacterial small subunit ribosomal RNA
Source: RNAcentral
GACGAACGCUGGCGGCGUGCUUAACACAUGCAAGUCGAACGGAAAGGCCCUGCUUUUGUGGGGUGCUCGAGUGGCGAACGGGUGAGUAACACGUGAGUAACCUGCCCUUGACUUUGGGAUAACUUCAGGAAACUGGGGCUAAUACCGGGUAGGAGCUCCUGCUGCAUGGUGGGGGUUGGAAAGUUUCGGCGGUUGGGGAUGGACUCGCGGCUUAUCAGCUUGUUGGUGGGGUAGUGGCUUACCAAGGCUUUGACGGGUAGCCGGCCUGAGAGGGUGACCGGCCACAUUGGGACUGAGAUACGGCCCAGACUCCUACGGGAGGCAGCAGUGGGGAAUAUUGCACAAUGGGCGGAAGCCUGAUGCAGCAACGCCGCGUGCGGGAUGACGGCCUUCGGGUUGUAAACCGCUUUCGCCUGUGACGAAGCGUGAGUGACGGUAAUGGGUAAAGAAACACCGGCUAACUACGU